AGAACGAACGCUGGCGGCGUGGAUAAGACAUGCAAGUCGAGCGAGAUUUUUUCUUGUAGCAAUACAGGGAAAAGUCUAGCGGCGAACGGGUGCUUAACACGUGGGCAAUCUGUCUUAAAGUGGGGGAUAGCUCGGCGAAAGCCGAAUUAAUACCGCAUGUGAUUAGAGUGGACAUCCAUUCAAAAUCAAAGUCGGGGCAACCUGACGCUUUUUGAGGAGCCCGCGGCCUAUCAGCUUGUUGGUGAGGUAACGGCUCACCAAGGCUAAGACGGGUAGCUGGUCUGAGAGGACGACCAGCCUCACUGGAACUGAGACACGGUCCAGACACCUACGGGUGGCAGCAGUCGAGAAUUUUUCACAAUGGGGGAAACCCUGAUGGAGCGACGCCGCGUGGGGGAUGAAUGGCUUCGGCCCGUAAACCCCUGUCAUUUGUGACCAAACCUUCCGACCCAACACGUCGGAAGCUGAUGGUAGCGGAAGAGGAAGGGACGGCUAACUCUGUGCCAGCA
RNAcentral lists this ribosomal RNA (509 nucleotides) under uncultured bacterium. RNAcentral's name for it is "SSU rRNA". It matches the Rfam family "Bacterial small subunit ribosomal RNA", at positions 26 to 513 of the family's 1533-position model. The record is from RNAcentral.